This is a long non-coding RNA of Hyla sarda, 456 nucleotides long. RefSeq lists it as uncharacterized. The record is from RefSeq and is a predicted model, not a curated record. The transcript has 5 exons. Lineage: Eukaryota; Metazoa; Chordata; Amphibia; Anura; Hylidae.
CUAACUGUGGACUGAACCAAAGCACAGCCUUCAAUAAUGGAUCAAUCCCACACAACAGGAGGUGACUAGAGGUUAAUCCACUAAGAGAGCCCUAUCAGCACGGAGGAACUCUGACUAUGGGGACCCACGACUAAGGAAGAUAGAUAGGAGAGGGACAGGGGAAAGACAGGUGGAGCGUCGAAGUACUAACCUCUAAGAACAGCGGACGCGAACGGAAUCCCCUAGGGGCCGGAGGCAAUCAGCAUGUCAUGUCGGGUAACACGACCGAGAAACAUAAGCCUUGAAAAAGAUUUAUCGAAACAUGUUGGUGUUUUAAGAACGCAAUGACGUGUGGACCAGUUGAAGCGCAGCCAGUGCGCGAAAUGGCACCGUUGCCCUACGAGACACCCCUGCACCGAUUCUUGUCUGCACAGCACUUGAUGUUAUGAGGAUCUACAAAUAAACCCUUCACUGAAG